AACGAACGCUGGCGGCAUGCCUAACACAUGCAAGUCGAACGAGACCUUCGGGUCUAGUGGCGCACGGGUGCGUAACGCGUGGGAACCUGCCCUUAGGUUCGGAAUAACUCCCCGAAAGGGGUGCUAAUACCGGAUAAUGUCUUCGGACCAAAGAUUUAUCGCCUUUGGAUGGGCCCGCGUUGGAUUAGCUAGUUGGUAGGGUAAAAGCCUACCAAGGCGACGAUCCAUAGCUGGUCUGAGAGGAUGAUCAGCCACACUGGGACUGAGACACGGCCCAGACUCCUACGGGAGGAAGCAGUGGGGAAUAUUGGACAAUGGGCGAAAGCCUGAUCCAGCAAUGCCGCGGGAGUGAUGAAGGCCUUAGGGUUGUAAAGCUCUUUUACCCGGGAUGAUAAUGACAGUACCGGGAGAAUAAGCUCCGGCAAACUCCGU
RNAcentral lists this ribosomal RNA (432 nucleotides) under uncultured bacterium. Its description in RNAcentral is "partial 16S ribosomal RNA". It matches the Rfam family "Bacterial small subunit ribosomal RNA", at positions 29 to 506 of the family's 1533-position model. The record is from RNAcentral.